RNAcentral lists this long non-coding RNA (1887 nucleotides) under Olea europaea subsp. europaea. Lineage: Eukaryota; Viridiplantae; Streptophyta; Magnoliopsida; Lamiales; Oleaceae. The record is from RNAcentral.
AUAAAAGUGCCCUACAAAAUUUCGUUUCCCGCCUUAGCUCCCUUGUUUCGAUUUUCUCUUCGAGAUUCUAUUUCUUCCGGAUUUCCCAAAAUUUUGGCGAUUCCGCAAAAAGAACUCGAUAAAUUCUGUAUGGAUUUCCAUUUCCGUGGUGAACUGAGGUCAGUAUUGAAUAUUUUGUCUGUUUUUCUUGUAAAAAUUUUCCGGUUCUUAACAUUACUUCGCUCAUCUGUGGCUAUUUUUCGGAUUUGGAUCAUUGUUUCGUUGCUUUUGUGCUUUAAAGUGUAGAAGAUUUGAAGAUCUAGGGUUUGGCUUUCCAGAUCCUAAGGUAUUUCAUGUAAGGAUUUCCAUUUCCGUGGCGAACUGAGGUCAGUAUUGAACAUUUUGACUGCUUUUCUUGUAAAAAUUUUCCGGUUUCUUAACAUUACUUCGCUCAUCUGUGUCUAUUUUUCGGAUUUGGAUCAUUGUUUCGUUGCUUUUGUGCUUUAAAGUGUAGAAGAUUUGAAGAUCUAGGGUUUGGCUUCCCAGAUCCUAAGGUAUUUCAAUGUAAACGUCUCUCUUUUAUUGGGUGUUUUAUUGUGCGGUUUCUAUUUCGACAAUUAGUAAAAUUGAUUUCAAAUUUAGGGCAAGCAUUAACUAUGAUUAUCUUGUUUUGAUUUAGAUUCUCGUCAUCUUUGAAUGUGAAUAUCAAGCUAAGUUGUAAUCUGCUUGUUUUUUGCCCUGGUUUGAAUCCGUUGUCACCCUAUAUCUUAGCCAUCUUGCUAAGCCCCUAAUUUUUUUUUUCCAAUUUUUCUUUUGGAAUUCAUGUCUAGAAACUGAAAGGGAAAGAUCUAAAAUUUCAUGCCCUUUUAAAUUGCUUAUCUAUUCAGAGAAUUUCUGUUUUCUCAGUAUUCAAAGAAAAUAUCAGAUUAUAUUAAAAAGUUUCUACUCUUAAUAUUCAAAGCAUUUUGUUGUUUGGACUUAGUUAUGUAUAACGAGAAAUCUAUGAAGUAGAGGUCUUUCAGGCUUCAAUUAUUGAUAAAAUUGGAAAAGAUAAAAUUUUGUGCUUGGAGGCAAUAGGGAUGAUUGGGAUUGGACCCAGCUUCAUAAUUUUGCCCCCUCUAUGGUAUCUUUCCUUGGGUAUUCUACAUUUACAUGUAAUAUCUAGUAUAAAUAGCACUGUGAGAAAUCUUCCAUUUAGUAUGCUAUUAACAGGGUGAAUGAGAAGGGUGACAUGUUGAUAGCUAUAUAUUUUUCUUAGAUUGAGGCAAUAGUCUUCAUCUCUACAUCUGUUUGUUUUUUAUGUUGAGAAUACCAUUGGUUAAGCUGAGUGUAAAAUUUUGUUUAAUGAUAGUUGAUAUAAUUAACAUAUAGUUGCAGUUGGUGUUGACAUAUUUUAAUUGAUUGGAGGCUUUGAAAACUUUUACUUCUUGUUAUUGUUAUUUACAGUUGUUAGAUAGUAGGUUGCUUCCAUGCUUAAACCAUUUGAAACUGAAUUGAUACUUUUUUCUUGUUAUUAAUAGAAUGUUCUGCCCACGUCAAAUAAAUCAUAGGGAGAGAGCUAGAAGGGAAAAGAGAAGAAACAAGAGUAGAGAAUUUACAAGUCUUAUGGGAGAAGAAUGGUUGAGACAUUGACUACCUUUGAUACUAGAAAAAUAACCCAAGCGUUCUACACCCUUGACGAUCCCAACUGAAAGCACUAUACGAAUUAAUGACAAGCGAGAUAUUGAAAGCUGCUGGCCCUGUGUGUAAACCUUGUUGCAGAAUCCUUCACUUGUUAUAAUUGUUUAUGAUUGUGUGUAGGAUUUGUGUGCAGUAUAAUGUGAAUGUGUGAAAGAUAUGAAAUUGUGAAUAUCACUGUUGACAAUCAUAUUUUUUAUUACUUUAAUAUUUUGAUUGUUAAUAUAAUUG